GCUGGGGCGGCGGGUGGA
RNAcentral lists this unclassified non-coding RNA (18 nucleotides) under Chlamydomonas reinhardtii. RNAcentral's name for it is "small RNA Cre_1795". Lineage: Eukaryota; Viridiplantae; Chlorophyta; Chlorophyceae; Chlamydomonadales; Chlamydomonadaceae. The record is from RNAcentral.